CCGCGCUAAGCGGGGAGCUGGCGAUGCCCUAUACCUGCGAUCGCCUAGCAGGGCCUAGAUCCCCGCCCGAGGCGGCCCGGGUUCGGUGGAAACCGGUGACGAAAGCGUUGAUGGUUCGGUCCCGGGCAAUGGGACCCCGCGAACCGUGUCAGGACCGGGAGGUAGCAGCACUAAGCGGGUAACCCCAUGUGCUACGGGGUAGCCGAGCCGGAGCUGACGGCCGGGAGUUCGCCGGGUCCGGGUCCGUCGAAGGCGGGGUGCGCGG
Molecule: signal recognition particle RNA, 265 nt
Filed under: Actinomycetota bacterium
Lineage: Bacteria; Bacillati; Actinomycetota
Description: signal recognition particle sRNA large type
Rfam family: Bacterial large signal recognition particle RNA
About the family: The signal recognition particle (SRP) is a universally conserved ribonucleoprotein involved in the co-translational targeting of proteins to membranes.
Source: RNAcentral